RNAcentral lists this long non-coding RNA (3435 nucleotides) under Panicum hallii. RNAcentral describes it as "long non-coding RNA (PHAL_LNC000123)". The record is from RNAcentral. Lineage: Eukaryota; Viridiplantae; Streptophyta; Magnoliopsida; Poales; Poaceae.
UAUUCACCAAAAGGUAGGUACAAUAUUGGACUGAAAACAAAAGGCAAUUAUAUUAGUUUAAAUUAAAACUAAUACAAGAAACAGGUUGUUGACACAAUAUUGCAGUAUAUAUGACAUAUAGUGAUAAACAAAGUGAAUAAAAACAAAAUUAUUGUUAGAAUUGUUACAGCAGUAAUGGAGAAAAUCUUGCGUCCCCAGGCAGAACCAUGAGUUACUUAUUAGUCAGAUCAUUAGUUUCAUAAAUAGUGGCAGAUCUCUGAACUUCUUUGCUCUACUACACCAUUGAUUGGCAUAUAAUGAAUUUCGUGACUAAGAAAUAGAAAUUCCGGCAAGCACAUAUGCAGAUCUGGAAAUGGGUUUUGUCUUGACGUUUCGCGAACUUUGUUAGUAACAGAGGCUGAGAAGAUUUUUCAAUUGAUGGCUUCAUGCAUCUUUGGAACCGGAGCCACCAGCAGAUUGAACCGCAAAUUCAAGCCAUUAAUUUUGAAGUUAUAAGAGCUGCAAACAUUCUGGAAAUGGUGAAGGUUUCUUUUCCAUUUUUACAAAACAAAUAACUCAUGAACUAUUUUCUGGCAAGAUUUAUUCAUCAUUAAGUACAGACACAAUGGGUAUAACCAACCUGGCUUUCAUAUAUAAGAUAAUAUAACUCCGUACACAAUGGGUAUACGAACAUUCAGUAUUUCUGAAUGCACUACUACAGCAAAUUUUGCACAGGGAAUGAACCUGCUAAUGAUUAAUAGGCUGCAGUCAUAUAUUUGCAGUAAAUACUUCUAAUCAGUUUCCCUUCAGCACCGUCACUUCAAAGCACAGGUCAUCCUCCACCAAGUGUCAACUACCACAUUAAUCGCUUUCACCUAUCCAAAGCCACAAUUCCGGACCCUAAUAUAAUGGCUGUGUCAACUGAUACAUUGCACUGCAGACCACCUUUCUUAAUUACUCCCUCCGUCCCAAAUUAUUAGCCGUUUUGGCUUUUCUAAAUUUAUAGAUUUUACUAUGCACCUAGACAUAAUAGAUAUGUAGAUGCAUAGAAAAAAUUAUGAAUCUAGAAAAGCUAAAAUGACUAAUAAUUUAGGACGGAGGGAGUACUGACUUAACUACAUGAGUUCUGUGGCAGUCGUUGUAAGCUUUACAUGCAUGAUUCUGCCAGUGUUUUUGCCAAAAGGCUGAUGGUUUUUUCUUUAUAAUUAUAUUGAAUAGCCGAUGCCAUUUAGGCCCUGAGCUAGUGAGGCAAUUCUUGAGAGUUACUCCCCUCGUCCCAUGAAGAGCGCAAUUCUGUGUUUGAAAAAAAAUCCCAUAAAGAGUGCAAUCCUAUGAAUUGGAUCUCAAAUACCUGCCUAAUUAAGUGGUCAGAUUUGAUUUGCAUGCCAAAGCUAACUGCACAUGGUCAACAAAUGAGGGCAAGAGAGUCUUUUCACGCCACCGCUAAUCUGUCUAGAAAAGACUAGAAUUGCAUUCUUCAUGGGACGGAGGGAGUAUUUAUCAAGUGGCUGAUGCGUUUUCUUAGAAAUGCUUGUUAGAUAUUAUUGGUUCCUAGUAUGUUUUCCCUCUUGGGGAGACCACCAAAUAAAUAAAUCUAGAAAACCCUUGGGCACUUGAUAAGAAAUUGUGGAGAAGAACAAUAACCCUUAACCAUUUGAAAAGAAUAUUCAAACAUAAAGUUUUAAUAUCAUUACAGCUGAUUAUACAUGAAAUCUUGCAGGAACCAGUAGGCAAAACAUCCGUUAUUUCUAUUGGAGAGAUGCAGCACGCACAAUAUUCAUGUUUCUACUGGAGACAUGACACGUACUAGUAUACCACAAAAAUAAAGCAGAUAAUGUCAGUUAGGAUGUAAGUUCCACUUGCUAUGGGUCACUGGGCCGACUUGAACUUGCUAAAAUGAACUAAAACGGCAUGCCGUGUAUAUCAUAUUUUUUAGGAAAAAAAAAGAAAGACAUUCUGUUAUUUGUUUGAAACUUGUAUCUCACCAGUUCUUUUUUUUUCGAACAAUGUAUCCCACCAGUUCUCAUAUCUGGCUACAAUUCUGCAGUUUCAUUUAUCAGUUACUAGGGCACAAUCAAGUUACCAUCAAAUACAAAUAAUGCGAUAGUAACAUGAAAAAUUGUUUUGAUACUAGUCUCUUAUUAACAUUGUGCAUGCUCUGUCCAUAUAUAUAUAUAUAGGCAUUCAAGCCUAUAAAAUUUGUACAUAAAUGUUAGCAUUUCUGAUAUUUCACUUGCAACCGUUACCAGGACAUGCCCGUGCAUGCGUGAUUUAUGGGGCUUUAAUUAGGGACAUAUCAGUCUUUUACAUGCAAGCCUAAUCUGUCUUGAAAAUCUUAUAUAUAGAGGGAGUACACUAAAGGAUUUUCUUAGAAACAUGGAAAGUACAAAACAACCAAUUCUAUGCUCCUAUAAAUUUUCUAGAAGAACAGAUGCUCUGACCUACCGAGCUAUCACACGACCCACCAAAUCUUAAACAAGAGCAGUUUUUGCUUUUGAAAUGACAUGAACCAUAUCCAACAAUCAUGUUGAGCUAUUGGAAUAGGACACGUCAGGAAUGAGAAAACUACGAGUUUGCUGCACUUUAGCAGGCAGAUCCACAGAGUUCACACUUGUGGAAACUUCCUGCCUUCGAGGAUUUGCCGAUGUGGAGAUGGAUUAGUGUAUCUCCAGAAUUGCAGAGGACUCUCAAGUUCUUAAUGUCAGCACUAUCGUCAAUCUUGGAGGAUUCGUCUAAUAUCCAGAGACAAUUUCUCACCAAAAAUAGGGUUAAUAGAAUAAGAAACAUUGAAAACAAGUAAUAUGCUAGCAUAGAGGAGGCUUGAUCUGGGGCAUGGGGUCUAGUCCAACAAAGGGACCAUUCCAAGCUAUAGCUUCCAAGUAGCGCAGAUAGGAUGUACUGGAACAAAUUCUUUGAGAGGUACCAAAAAAUCAAGCAGUCAUCAGAGCAUUCAAAAAUGAAUUGAGGUUCUUUUCAGCUACCAUAUCACAAAUCAGUAAACCCAGAUCGGGUACAAAGAAGAAAGAAAUGAAGAUGCAGUAAACUGAAACAAAAGGUAGAGUCAUGCUUCAGAUUGCAGUUCAGAGUUCAGACCAAGGCCAAAAUGGAGUUCAGAUUCAGAGUCUGGAUGAAUACCUGGAGGCGGAGAUGUGCAACGCCCAGCCUGUUCCUGCGGCGAGACGACGAGCAGAGCAGCCAUCCCACCGCGGCGGCGCCGCCUCACCGAAGUGUAUUGUGUGGGUGGGUGGCGUGGCGCUCCCUCGCCGUCUCAGGCCAGCCGGCGCUGCUGCGGCAGAGGAGCCAGGGCCUCGAGCGUCCCGGGCGCUUGGCCGGAGACAGAAGCUGGGGCGAGAGUCUGAGGGAGGCGAAACCAGAUGCUUGGCAGCGGGGCUCGCGGAGGUCGGCGGCGGCCGAGCAACCUCGCUGGGGGCCCUGUCUCCGGCCCAGGAUAUUUGC